GUGGGGAAUAUUGGACAAUGGGCGCAAGCCUGAUCCAGCCAUGCCGCGUGAGUGAUGAAGGCCUUAGGGUUGUAAAGCUCUUUCACCGGUGAAGAUAAUGACGGUAACCGGAGAAGAAGCCCCGGCUAACUUCGUGCCAGCAGCCGCGGUAAUACGAAGGGGGCUAGCGUUGUUCGGAAUUACUGGGCGUAAAGCGCACGUAGGCUGAUAUUUAAGUCAGGGGUGAAAUCCCGGGGCUCAACCCCGGAACUGCCUUUGAUACUGGGUAUCUUGAGUAUGGAAGAGGUCAGUGGAAUUGCGAGUGUAGAGGUGAAAUUCGUAGAUAUUCGCAGGAACACCAGUGGCGAAGGCGGCUGACUGGUCCAUUACUGACGCUGAGGUGCGAAAGCGUGGGGAGCAAACAGGAUUAGAUACCCGGGUAGUCC
Molecule: ribosomal RNA, 425 nt
Filed under: uncultured bacterium
Lineage: Bacteria
Description: partial 16S ribosomal RNA
Rfam family: Bacterial small subunit ribosomal RNA
Source: RNAcentral